GACGAACGCUGGCGGCGUGCUUAACACAUGCAAGUCGAACGGUGAAGCGCCUUCCUUUUUGGUGGGUGUGGAUGAGUGGCGAACGGGUGAGUAACACGUGAGUAACCUGCCCCCUUCUUCUGGAUAACCGCAUGAAAGUGUGGCUAAUACGGGAUAUUCUGAGUCUGUCGCAUGAUGGGUCUGGGAAAGAUAUUGUUUCGGUGGGGGAUGGGCUCGCGGCCUAUCAGCUUGUUGGUGGGGUGAUGGCCUACCAAGGCGGUGACGGGUAGCCGGCCUGAGAGGGUGGACGGUCACACUGGGACUGGGACACGGCCCAGACUCCUACGGGAGGCAGCAGUGGGGAAUAUUGCACAAUGGGCGCAAGCCUGAUGCAGCGACGCCGCGUGAGGGAUGGAGGCCUUCGGGUUGUGAACCUCUUUCGCCAGUGAAGCAGGCCUGCCUCGUUUGUGGGUGGGUUGACGGUAGCUGGAUAAGAAGCGCCGGCUAACUACGUG
This 494-nucleotide ribosomal RNA is filed under the name uncultured bacterium. Its description in RNAcentral is "partial 16S ribosomal RNA". It matches the Rfam family "Bacterial small subunit ribosomal RNA", at positions 28 to 507 of the family's 1533-position model. The record is from RNAcentral.